GCGGGAGUAACUCAGUUGGCAGAGUCCCUGCCUUCCAAGCAGGUUGUCGCCGGUUCGAAUCCGGUCUCCCGCUCCA
This 76-nucleotide transfer RNA is filed under the name Dehalococcoidia bacterium. Its description in RNAcentral is "tRNA-Gly". It matches the Rfam family "tRNA". Rfam says of the family: Transfer RNA (tRNA) molecules are approximately 80 nucleotides in length. Their secondary structure includes four short double-helical elements and three loops (D, anti-codon, and T loops). Lineage: Bacteria; Bacillati; Chloroflexota; Dehalococcoidia. RNAcentral also lists the same sequence under 1 other name. The record is from RNAcentral.